Molecule: transfer RNA, 59 nt
Filed under: Mansonella perstans
Lineage: Eukaryota; Metazoa; Nematoda; Chromadorea; Rhabditida; Onchocercidae
Description: tRNA-Pro
Source: RNAcentral
GCUGAAUUAGUUUAAGUUAAAAAAUUGAAUGUUUGGGUCGUUUAGAUUAGUUUUCAGUU